This 326-nucleotide ribosomal RNA is filed under the name uncultured bacterium. Its description in RNAcentral is "bacterial SSU rRNA". It matches the Rfam family "Bacterial small subunit ribosomal RNA", at positions 28 to 334 of the family's 1533-position model. The record is from RNAcentral.
GAUGAACGCUGGCGGCGUGCCUAACACAUGCAAGUCGAGCGAAGCGAUUUGGCGGAAGUUUUCGGAUGGAAGCUAAAUUGACUGAGCGGGCGUGGGCAAGGACGUCACUUAGGGUACCUGCCUCAUACAGGGGGAUAACAGUUAGAAAUGACUGCUAAUACCGCAUAAGCGCACAGCAUCGCAUGAUGCAGUGCGAAAAACUCCGGUGGUAUGAGAUGGACCCCGCGUCUGAUUAGCUAGUUGGUGAGGUAACGGCUCACCAAGGCGACGAUCAAUAGCCGACCUGAGAGGGUGAUCGGCCAACAUUGGGACUGAGCACGGCCCAA